Molecule: long non-coding RNA, 1007 nt
Filed under: Canis lupus familiaris (dog)
Lineage: Eukaryota; Metazoa; Chordata; Mammalia; Carnivora; Canidae
Description: lncRNA (ENSCAFG00805010748.1, ENSCAFG00845016241.1)
Source: RNAcentral
GGUUGCUCUCAGUUUCAUUAAUUCCUUCUCCAAACACCCCGAGACACCCCAGCACAGAAGGUCGCAGCACACCGGCAUGAGGUCACACCUGUGUGCAGGGACUUACCUGUGCAGUGGGGGUGGCCAGCCCCUCUCCCCCGGGCCAAGGGAGGCCUCCCAGGGGAAGGCACCCUUGGGGUCAGCUGCCUGGACUAGGGAGACAGGCAUGGCUUCCCGGUCCUGACAACCACGUGUGUCAAGGCUGGAAUAAGGGAGGGCCAGGGGCACAGAAGCGUCAGGGUCUUGGGUGGGCUGCGGGCAGUGGGGAAGCAUGGAGGCUGCCGCAGGGCAAGGUGGUAGCCCAGCCGUUUGGAGCAGGGACAGAGGUACCAGACACCCCGCCCUGGGGGUCACGGUCAGGGCCUGGGGCCAAAGGAUGGAUGAACCAGGGAGAAGAGGCAGGUGAGCUGGGCAAGGGGCUGAGCUGCCGCCAGGUGUUCUUGCCAAGCAUUCCCACGGAAGCUGCUGGGCACAGGAGAAUGAGCAGCAAGAAGGCAGAUCCCAAAGCUGCAUCAGAGAAGUGGCUGACAUCCCUCCCCGGAGCUAAGCCGGGUGCCGCUGCUGGGGAGUCUGACCCCCGCUCCAGCACGGACUUGGGACGCCCUCUCUGCAGCUGCCAGGGAUGCGCUCAGGAGACCCUUCCCUCUGAGAGUGGCUUUCAGGAGAUCUCUGAGCUGGGCUCGGGUACGGUAGACGGAGGAUUCGGAGCGCAGAAGUCCAUUCCAGACCCUGGCCCUGAGACUCGUGCCCCUGCCCUGGGCUGGGGUGAGGGACACGGCACGAGAACACAUGGAGAUGGGACGCAGGCCCGUGGGGACAGCGGACAGGUUCUGAGACAGAGCUCGGUUAGAAUUCACGUUGGGGAUUCUCAGGCUAAGCGUGUGGUCCACUCUGACUCUCUGUUCCACCUGAGCCAUCCCCUUGCUUUUCCUGCCUGCGGCUGCUGUCUCAAACCACCCUCUCCGUAG